Molecule: long non-coding RNA, 1212 nt
Organism: Herpailurus yagouaroundi (jaguarundi)
Lineage: Eukaryota; Metazoa; Chordata; Mammalia; Carnivora; Felidae
Exons: 2
Source: RefSeq, a predicted model, not a curated record
CAUCCCAGACCCAGGCAACCACCCAGAGGCUUUCUUUCCCUCCGGCUGACUUUGUCAUUUCCAGACUCCUUUAAAAAUAGAAUUGUACAAUAUGCACUCCUGCGUCUGCUUUUCUUCCUCAAUGCCAUGUUCUGAGGUCCAUCCUGUGGCAGUGUUAUCGCUGUCUGUCCUUUUUUAUUGUUACAAUGACGUGUGGAUAUAUACCAGUUCUGUCCCUCUACCUGUUGAUGGGCACGUGGGCAGUUUCCAGCUUGGAGCUGUGAUGAGCGGUGCUGCUGGGAACAUUCAUGGGCAAGCCGUGUCUGGACAUAGCUUUCAUUUCUCUCGGGUAAACACCCAGAAGCGGAAUUGUUGUGCUAUCUGUCACGUGAGUGUUUAACUGUAUGCAACAACAUCAAACUGUCUUCCAAAGUGUGUAUUUCCAUGUGUAUAGUUCCACCAGCGAAAGUCGUUUGUAAACAGCAUGUUAAAUUUUCAAAUACUUUGCUAGAUGUCCUCAGGUGCUACAGAGGGUCCAGAACGUCUCGGAAAGCGAUUAUUUAUUGCACUUUUUUUUCACACUAACGAUUGGACACAUUGUUUCAAGUUUACAGGUAUUUCAGGAGAAAAAGCAUCUAGAGGUUGAAGAUUGGAAAUGUAACUAACAAUGGUUUAAAGAUGCCUUUGUGACAACCCUCCUUUCAUGUCCUUUGAUGUUUGUUGGAUCAAACUGGAAGGGAUGCAGGAGGUCGUGAAGCCAACCGUAGGUGACGCCCACAGCACCCAGGAGCUCUGCCCUGGCCUCCCGAUUUUCAGCCUGCGCAAAGAUGACUAAUUUAGCAAAUAUUUUUAAAAGACGGCUCGCAAGUUGGAAUGUAAAUUGACAGGCGGCUUUUUAAAGCAAUUGGGAAAUACUUGCCGAGAGUAGAAAUGCCUGUGCUUCUGCACAGGAGACCCACGUGUAGGAGCCGCUAAGAACACCGUGUGGAUGAACGUAUAUGCACAAGCCUGUCCUUUAGCAUCUGUAUCGCAAGGAAAAACUAGAACCAGGUGCCCACCAUCUAGGAGAACCAUUCAGUCAACUCUGGUAUGCAGAUCAGAUAGAAUUUGAGGCCGCUUUCAGAAGUGAGUCUUUUUAUAAAUUCCAGCAAACGAUGGACAGCACACAAGGAUUACCCAUGAUACUCUGGGUGGUAGGGCUGGCUGGGAUUCUUGUUUCUUUCUAUUUAAAAA